UAAGGAAUAUUGGUCAAUGGACGCAAGUCUGAACCAGCCAUGCCGCGUGGAGGAUUAAGGCCCUCUGGGUUGUAAACUCCUUUUAUCUGGGAAGAAAUGUACUUUUUCUUGAGUACUUGACGGUACCAGAGGAAUAAGCACCGGCUAACUCCGUGCCAGCAGCCGCGGUAAUACGGAGGGUGCAAGCGUUAUCCGGAUUCACUGGGUUUAAAGGGUGCGUAGGUGGGCAGGUAAGUCAGUGGUGAAAUCUCCGGGCUUAACCCGGAGACUUCCCUUGAUACUAUUUGGCUUGAAUAUUGUGGAGGUAAGCGGAAUAUGUCAUGUAGCGGUGAAAUGCUUAGAUAUGACAUAGAACACCAAAUGCGAAGGCAGCUUACUACACAAUCAUUGACGCUGAGGCACGUAAGCGUGGGGAUCAAACA
This 422-nucleotide ribosomal RNA is filed under the name uncultured bacterium. Its description in RNAcentral is "bacterial SSU rRNA". It matches the Rfam family "Bacterial small subunit ribosomal RNA", at positions 355 to 774 of the family's 1533-position model. The record is from RNAcentral.